Molecule: microRNA precursor, 103 nt
Filed under: Marmota monax (woodchuck)
Lineage: Eukaryota; Metazoa; Chordata; Mammalia; Rodentia; Sciuridae
Source: RNAcentral
AGAGGAAUAGCUGGGUCAAAUGGUGGUUUCAUUCCCAGUUUUCCAAGGAAUCUCCAUACUGCUUUCCAAAUUGGGUGCACUAAUUUGCAAUCCCACCAGGAGU